GAGUACUAAAUGGGCUAUGGAGCCUACCAGCUUUCUGAACCCAAUUAAACUCCGAAUGCUAUUAUCCUUAACUCGGGAGUAAGACAGUGGGGGAUAAGCUUCAUUGUCAAAAGGGAAACAGCCCAGACCGCCAGCUAAGGUCCCAAAAUAUAAGCUAAGUGGCAAAGGAUGUGAAACUGCGUAGACAACCAGGAUGUUGGCUCAGAGGCAGCCAUCAUUUAAAGAGUGCGUAACAGCUCACUGGUCGAUUGUGGUUUUGCGCCGAUAAUGAGCGGGGCUCAAGCUUAUUACCGAAGCUGCGGAUUUAUAUCUGCCUACGGGCAGGUAUAAGUGGUAGAGGAGCGUUCUAUUAUAGGUUGAAGGGGUACCGAGAGGAGCCCUGGACGAAAUAGAAGUGAUUAUGCCGGUAUGAGUAGCGAAAAUCCCGAUGAGAAAACGGGACGCCGAAAAUCUAAGGUUUCCUGGGGAAGGUUAAUCCGCCCAGGGUUAGUCGAUCCUAAGCCGAGGCCGAAAGGCGUAGGCGAUGGACAAUACGUUAAUAUUCGUAUACCACCUGUUUGGUGUUUGAGCUUUAAAGUGACGCAGAAGGUUAAACCAUCGCGCUGUAAGGAUGUGCGCGUCCAAGCCUGUAGCCCCGCACCAGUAAUGGUGCUGGGUGAGGGGUGUUAGGGAGCCUGAUCUACGGAGAGGGUAAACUGGUUGAUACCACGCUGCCUAGAAAAACCUUUAAAGUGAAUCAAACGGGUGAUCGUACCGUAAACCGACACAGGUAGAUGGGGAGAAUAUCCUAAGGCGCUCGAUAUAACCCUUGUUAAGGAACUAGGCAAAAUAGCCCCGUAACUUCGGAAGAAGGGGUGCCCCGAAUGGUGAACGUCCUGCGACGCGAGCCGUUCGGAGUUUCAAUAAAGUGGCUCUUGUGACUGUUUAGCAAAAACACAUGUCUCUGCUAACUCGCUGAGAGGAAGUAUAGGGACUGACACCUGCCCGGUGCUGGAAGGUUAAGGGGAAUUGUUAUCCCUCGUAAGAGGGAGAAGCUCUGAACCGAAGCCCCAGUAAACGGCGGCCGUAACUAUACCGGUCCUCAGGUAGCGAAAUUCCUUGUCGGGUAAGUUCCGACCCGCACGAAUGGUGUAACAACAGGAGCGCUGUCUCAACAGGGGGAUCGGUGAAAUUGUAGCAGCGGUGAAGAUGCCGCGAACCCGCGACUAGACGAAAAGACCCCGGAACCUUUACUGUACUCUGGUACUGGACUUUGGUUCGAUAUGUGUAGGAUAGGUGGGAGGCUUUGAAGCUCGGGCGUUAGCUCGAGUGGAGCCAACGGUGAAAUACCACCCUUAUUUAACUCGGGUUCUAACCCGCAUCCGUGAAUCCGGAUGGGGAACAAUGCCAGACGGGCAGUUUGACUGGGGCGGUUACCUCCUAAAUUGUAACGGAGGUGUUCAAAGGUUUCCUCAGUGCGGUCGGCAAUCGCACGUAGAGCGUAAAG
Molecule: ribosomal RNA, 1486 nt
Filed under: Candidatus Omnitrophota bacterium
Lineage: Bacteria; Pseudomonadati; Candidatus Omnitrophota
Description: partial 23S ribosomal RNA
Rfam family: Bacterial large subunit ribosomal RNA
Source: RNAcentral